RNAcentral lists this small RNA (28 nucleotides) under Bombyx mori (domestic silkworm). Its description in RNAcentral is "ovarian small RNA-17940". The record is from RNAcentral. Lineage: Eukaryota; Metazoa; Arthropoda; Insecta; Lepidoptera; Bombycidae.
GUGUACAGGAUGGCCAUAAGGUCCUGCG